AUGGCGAGGAAGGUGCAGGAGGAGGAGUACGAGGAGGACGAGGGGGAGUCGAUCGAGCGGGUGUUCGAGGGGCAGGAGGUGCCCGACUGGAAGGAGCAGGUGACGGCGCGGGCGCUGGCGGUGAGCGCGCUGCUGGGCUUCAUGUUCAGCGUCAUCGUGAUGAAGCUCAACCUCACCACCGGCAUCAUCCCCUCCCUCAACGUCUCCGCGGGCCUCCUCGGCUUCUUCCUCCUCACCUCCUGGACCCGGCUGCUCAACAAGGCCGGCGUCCCCGGCGUCAAGCCCUUCACCCGCCAGGAGAACACCGUCGUCCAGACCUGCGUCGUCGCAUGCUCCGGCAUCGCCUUCAGCGGGGGAUUUGGGAGCUACAUGUUCGGGAUGAGCGAGAGGAUCAGCGAGCAGUCAGGGGAGGUGAGGGACGAGGACAGCAUCAAGAACCCCAGCCUGGGAUGGAUGAUCGGCUUCCUCUUCAUCGUCAGCUUCCUAGGGCUCUUCUCCGUCGUGCCCCUCAGGAAGAUAAUGAUCAUCGAUUACAAGCUCAUCUACCCGAGCGGCACGGCCACGGCGCACCUCAUCAACAGCUUCCACACACCGCAGGGCGCAAAGCUCGCCAAGUUACAGGUGAAGACGCUGGGGAAGUUUUUCGCGAUGAGCUUCAGCUGGGGCUUCUUCCAGUGGUUCUACACCGGCGGCAAAGACUGCGGUUUCAGUUCCUUCCCCACCUUGGGCCUCGAGGCACGCAGACAAAAGUUCUACUUCGACUUCUCGGCGACGUACCUAGGUGUCGGGAUGAUCUGCCCUUACCUCGUCAACCUCUCCGUCCUCCUCGGAGGCAUCAUAUCAUGGGGGAUCAUGUGGCCUAUCAUCGAGCACAAGAAGGGCGACUGGUACCCCGCCGACCUCAAGCCCAGCAGCCUCCGCGGCAUCGUCGGCUACCGGGUGUUCAUCUCCAUCUCGCUCAUCCUCGGCGACGGCCUGUACAACUUCCUCAAGGUGCUGACCCGGACCAUGACGGCGCUGGUGGCGCAGGUGCGCAGGAUGAUGUCGGGGCCGAGUCUACCGAUCAGCGAGGCCGGGGAGGACCUGGGGCCGGUGGAGACGUUCGACGACCAGCGCCGCACGGAGCUGUUCAUGAAGGACCAGAUCCCCAACACGCUCGCGCUGACCGCCUACGUGGUCACCGCGGCGAUCUCCAUCAUCACGGUGCCGCGCAUCUUCCACCAGCUCAGGUGGUACCACGUGGCCACCUCCUACGUGAUCGCGCCGGUGCUGGCCUUCUGCAACGCCUACGGCUGCGGCCUCACGGACUGGUCCCUCGCCACCACGUACGGCAAGCUCGCCAUCUUCCUGGUGGGCGCCUGGGCCGGCGCGUCCAACGGCGGCAUCAUCGCCGGCCUCGCCGCGUGCGGGGUCAUGAUCGGCAUCGUCUCCACGGCGUCCGACCUGACGCAGGACUUCAAGACCGGGUACAUGACGCUGGCGUCCCCCCGGUCCAUGUUCGUGAGCCAGGUGAUCGGCACCGCCAUGGGCUGCGUCAUCGCGCCGUCCGUCUUCUGGCUCUUCUACAAGGCGUUCGGCGACAUCGGCACGCCGGGGUCCGAGUACCCGUCCCCCAACGCUCUCGUGUACCGCAACAUGGCCAUCCUGGGCGUGCAGGGGCUGGGGUCGCUGCCCAAGCACUGCCUGGACCUCUGCAUCGUCUUCUUCGUGGGCGCCAUCGUGGUGAACCUGGCGAGGGACCUCGCCGGGCCAAACAUCGCGCAGUUCAUCCCGCUGCCCAUGGCCAUGGCCAUCCCCUUCUACCUGGGGCCCUACUUCGGGAUCGACAUGUGCAUCGGGAGCCUCAUCCGCUUCGUAUGGGACCACGUCGACGGCGCCAGGGCCAAGGCGUUCGCGCCGCCCGUCGCGUCGGGGCUCAUCUGCGGCGACGGCAUAUGGACGCUGCCGCAGUCGGUCCUGGCGCUCUCCGGCGUGAGGCCGCCCAUCUGCAUGAAGUUCCUUCCGCGCCUCACCAACCUCCAGGUGGACGCCUUCAUCAAAUCUCUACCGCCGCCGCCUCGCUGA
Molecule: ribosomal RNA, 2064 nt
Filed under: Triticum aestivum (bread wheat)
Lineage: Eukaryota; Viridiplantae; Streptophyta; Magnoliopsida; Poales; Poaceae
Description: partial small subunit ribosomal RNA
Source: RNAcentral